This 106-nucleotide non-coding RNA is filed under the name Halobacillus halophilus. Its description in RNAcentral is "SAM-I sequence". It matches the Rfam family "SAM riboswitch aptamer (S box leader)". Rfam says of the family: The SAM riboswitch is found upstream of a number of genes which code for proteins involved in methionine or cysteine biosynthesis in Gram-positive bacteria. Lineage: Bacteria; Bacillati; Bacillota; Bacilli; Caryophanales; Bacillaceae. RNAcentral also lists the same sequence under 1 other name. The record is from RNAcentral.
UUCUUAUCGAGAGCGGUGGAGGAAACUGGUCCUUUGAUCCCGCGGCAACCUGUUUGAUAAACAAGGUGCUCAUUCCAGCAGACAUUUUCUGUCUGAAAGAUAAGAG